AGAAGUCAUCAAUGAUUAACCUUAACGGUUCGUUUUCUGCUCUUGAUGGAUUCUGGGUGCAGGAGAGAGGAAAGUGAUGACGAAUGACCCUUGGGCGUAUGAGGUACCCUUCGGAGUACGACAACAAAGAACCUGCCAUCAAGACUCCAGUUGGGGGCGUUAUGCGCCUCAUCGAUGCUUCGAUCUGUCCCUGAAAAGGAAGAGAGAGGACGCCUGACG
This 219-nucleotide long non-coding RNA is filed under the name Setaria italica (foxtail millet). RNAcentral describes it as "long non-coding RNA (SITA_LNC001958)". Lineage: Eukaryota; Viridiplantae; Streptophyta; Magnoliopsida; Poales; Poaceae. The record is from RNAcentral.